UCAAAGACUAAGCCAUGCAUGUGCAAGUAUAAACGCUUGAACCGUGAGACUGCGAAUGGCUCAUUAAAUCAGUUAUAGUUUAUUUGAUGGUGUUCUCCACGUGGAUAACCGUGGUAAUUCUAGAGCUAAUACAUGCAGAAGGUCCCGACUAGUUUCGGAAGGGACGUAUAUAUUAGAUCCAAAACCAAUGCGGGUGCCGUGUCCUCGGUCGCGUCCCCGGUUACUUGGUGAUUCAUGAUAACUGCUCGAAUCGCUUGGCCUCCGUGCCGGCGAUGGUUCAUUCAAGUUUCUGCCCUAUCAACUUUCGAUGGUAGGGUAUUGGCCUACCAUGGUCGCAACGGGUGACGGAGAAUUAGGGUUCGAUUCCGGAGAGGGAGCCUCAGAAACGGCUACCACAUCCAAGUAGGCAGCAGGCGCGCAAAUUACCCAAUCCCGACUCGGGGAGGUAGUGACAAUAAAUAACAAUGCCGGUCCCUAUAGUGGUCCGGCAAUUGGAAUGAGUACAAUCCAAACCCCUUAACGAGGAACAAUUGGAGGGCAAGUCUGGUGCCAGCAGCCGCGGUAAUUCCAGCUCCAAUAGCGUAUAUUAAAGUUGUUGCAGUUAAAAAGCUCGUAGUUGGAUUUCGGGGCCCCGGACGUCUGCUGCGUUCCCCGCUCGACUGUCGUGUGGGUGCGUGGUGGGCGUCGGUCUCUGAGUCGGAUCGGUCCGCCGAGAGGCGAGCACUGACCGACGGCCCCUGUUGUCUCUCGGGUUGCCCGCCUGCUCUUUAUUGUUGCGGACGGGGAGUUCGGGACGUUUACUUGGA
This 806-nucleotide ribosomal RNA is filed under the name Petrosia strongylata. RNAcentral describes it as "bacterial SSU rRNA". It matches the Rfam family "Eukaryotic small subunit ribosomal RNA", at positions 37 to 760 of the family's 1831-position model. The record is from RNAcentral. Lineage: Eukaryota; Metazoa; Porifera; Demospongiae; Haplosclerida; Petrosiidae.